This 254-nucleotide ribosomal RNA is filed under the name uncultured bacterium. Its description in RNAcentral is "partial 16S ribosomal RNA". It matches the Rfam family "Bacterial small subunit ribosomal RNA", at positions 524 to 776 of the family's 1533-position model. The record is from RNAcentral.
UACGUAGGGGGCAAGCGUUGUCCGGAUUUAUUGGGCGUAAAGCGCUCGCAGGCGGCCUGGCCAAGUCGUGCGUGAAAUCUCCCGGCUCAACUGGGAGCGGUCGUGCGAUACUGGUCGGCUCGAGGCCGGUAGGGGGGAGUGGAAUUCCUGGUGGAGCGGUGAAAUGCGCAGAUAUCGGGAGGAACAUCUGUGGCGAAGGCGACACCCUGGACCAGCACUGACACUGAGGCACGAAAGCGUGGGGAGCAAACAGG